This 245-nucleotide ribosomal RNA is filed under the name uncultured Prevotellaceae bacterium. RNAcentral describes it as "partial 16S ribosomal RNA". It matches the Rfam family "Bacterial small subunit ribosomal RNA", at positions 524 to 768 of the family's 1533-position model. The record is from RNAcentral. Lineage: Bacteria; Pseudomonadati; Bacteroidota; Bacteroidia; Bacteroidales; Prevotellaceae.
UACGGAAGGUCCGGGCGUUAUCCGGAUUUAUUGGGUUUAAAGGGAGCGCAGGCGGGAGGUUAAGCGUGACGUGAAAUGUCCCGGCUCAACCGGGGAGUUGCGUCGCGAACUGGCCUUCUUGAGUGGGUGCGACGGAGCCGGAAUUCGUGGUGUAGCGGUGAAAUGCUUAGAUAUCACGAGGAACUCCGAUUGCGAAGGCAGUCUCCGAGCCCUCAACUGACGCUAAUGCUCGAAAGUGCGGGUAU